Molecule: long non-coding RNA, 559 nt
Filed under: Lathyrus oleraceus (garden pea)
Lineage: Eukaryota; Viridiplantae; Streptophyta; Magnoliopsida; Fabales; Fabaceae
Description: Pisum sativum (pea) long non-coding RNA (PSAT_LNC026316)
Source: RNAcentral
GACUCUCUCUCUAAAAAAAUAUUAAAAAAGAAAAGAAAAAGUAAUAAUCUCUCCCAUCUCUCACUGGCUUCUAAAAGGACGAAAAAAGAAAAUAAAAAGGGGAGGAUUUUCUUCUUUCCAAAAAAAAAAGAAGCGAAAGCACCUUCUUCUUUCCAACAACACAUUUCCACUGUCACAAAUAUUCCACCAUCCACCACACUUCGUAACCUCCAUCAAAUCCGCCGACGCACCCUCCUUCGACCUUUUCUCUCCCUCUGUUUCCGGUACUAUUUCCACCGUCCCGGCUCACCCUUUCCAAAUCACCAUCGUCAUUUUUCACUAUUCAACCCAAACAACCACCUCCACUACCUCCACAAAAUACACUCCCUCACAACAACUCCGGUCACUGAACCAUCUUCACCUCCAUAAAACCCACUUCGCCGGCCGACCUCCACCAAGCGUCGAGAACAACCUUCACAACCACACGCCGGUACUCACUCCAUCCGCCGUGAACCUUUGUUUCAGCCACCACCGCUACCCUCCGGCACAACCAAAUCAACACCGUCGAAACCAUUUCGAC